AACGUUACUUACAGGAUGGGCCCACUACAAACUUUCACUCUCUCUUGCGCUUGCGCAGCCUCUUCUUCUCCGAUCCCGACUCCAACUCUCCCUCUCUCCUUCGCCUGGCACAUCCUCGGCGGCGCGGCAGCCUGCUUCUUCACCGGCGCGGCGGCCUGCUUCUUCGACGACGCGGAGGCCUACGGCGGCCUACCGAGCGGACGGGUCCACGGACGAACGGAUCUCCGGCGCCUGGCAGAUCUUCGGCGCGCGGCCUACCGGUUGUGGACGGAUCUCCGCUGCCUGGUGCCCUGGCAGGCAGACGCGGCAGCGUCUUCUCCAGGCGGGUGGAUCUCCAGCGCUCCUCGAGCUGGAGCAGGCAGGCGUGCCGGUCUUCUCCAGGCGGGUGGAUCUUCACCGGCGCGGCGGCCUACCGGGCGGACGGAUCCGGUCGAUCUCCAGCUGCUCCGUGCCUCUGCUGCUCCGCGGCCUGAGCUCCGGGCGGACGGAUCCGCGGCCCAGCGACUCCGCUGCCUCUGCUGCUCUGUGUCUCCAGCGGAUCCGUGCCUCUGCUGCUCGGCGUCCUGAGCUCCGGCCGUCUCGCGCUGUUGCUUGCUCCUUGAAUCCGCACACAUGUGAUUGGUCAAAUAAA
RNA transcript from Zea mays, 631 nucleotides. RefSeq lists it as uncharacterized. The transcript has 2 exons. Lineage: Eukaryota; Viridiplantae; Streptophyta; Magnoliopsida; Poales; Poaceae. The record is from RefSeq and is marked validated.